Molecule: telomerase RNA, 322 nt
Filed under: Sinocyclocheilus rhinocerous
Lineage: Eukaryota; Metazoa; Chordata; Actinopteri; Cypriniformes; Cyprinidae
Description: Vertebrate telomerase RNA (ENSSRHG00000004030.1)
Rfam family: Vertebrate telomerase RNA
About the family: Telomerase is a ribonucleoprotein reverse transcriptase that synthesises telomeric DNA. Telomerase RNAs differ greatly in sequence and structure between vertebrates, ciliates and yeasts, but they share a 5' pseudoknot structure close to the template sequence.
Source: Rfam by way of RNAcentral
UUUACAGAGUACUUCUUCUAACCCUAACGCUUGAUGGCUUCCUGUACGGUAUUUAUACUGUUUUGUUUUAAGCUUUCAGUAUAUUACAGGAAGUUUUCCGCGGUUCCGAUGCGUAUAAAAAAAGCUAUAGAGUACUCUGAUGCUCGGUCUCACAGGUUUGUGUGUUUGCGCGCGGACAGUCCGACUGCCGCGAAGAGUUCACCUCUGCUGCACGUGCGUCGGAUCUGUGGGCGUUCAGCACGCUGAGCAGAGCAAAUUGAGCAUGGCCAACUUUUGCGGAUCUCUACACUGAUCCUGCAAAUAAGCCUGAGCUCAGACACUC